AUUUCCCGCGAGACCCUGGAAGCGGAUGGUAUUGCGGUGAGCGAAGUCGCCAGUGCCCUCAA
RNAcentral lists this non-coding RNA (62 nucleotides) under Florenciella parvula. The record is from RNAcentral. Lineage: Eukaryota; Dictyochophyceae; Florenciellales.